GUUUUCUGCUCGGUGAUUGUUAAACAGCUGCGGUAUUUUGACCGUGCAAAGGUAGCAUAAUAAUUUGCUUCAUAAUUGGGGGCUUGUAUGAAAGGAUACACAAAGGUUUUUCUUUAUUUUAAAGAUAAGAAUAAUUUUCUUUUUUAGUGAAGAGGCUAAAAUUUUAAAGUGGGACAAGAAGACCCUUUUGAGCUUUAUUGUUUCUUUUUUUUUAUAAAAAAAUUAAUUUGGUUGGGGCGACCUAGGAAGAAAAGAUCUUCCUUUUUAAUUUUGAUCCAAAGUUUUUGGUUGAUAGACUAAGUUACCAUAGGGAUAACAGCGUAAUUUUUUCUGAAAGUUCUUAUUAAAGAGAAAGAUUGCGACCUCGAUGUUGACUUAUAAUUUCCUAAUGGUGUAGUAGCUUUUAUGGUGGGUCUGUUCGACCUUUAAAGUUUUACGUGAUCU
RNAcentral lists this ribosomal RNA (444 nucleotides) under Prosorhochmus claparedii. Its description in RNAcentral is "partial 16S ribosomal RNA". It matches the Rfam family "Bacterial large subunit ribosomal RNA", at positions 1854 to 2606 of the family's 2925-position model. Lineage: Eukaryota; Metazoa; Nemertea; Enopla; Monostilifera; Prosorhochmidae. The record is from RNAcentral.